GACGAACGCUGGCGGCGUGCCUAAGACAUGCAAGUCGAGCGGGGUAUACGGUACGGCUUGCCGUAGCGGAUACCUAGCGGCGAACGGGUGAGUAACACGUGGGCAACCUACCCGCGAGGCCGGGAUAACAGUGGGAAACUGCUGCUAAUACCGGAUAUUCUUCAGCUGUCGCAUGGCAGGUGAAGGAAAGGUGGCCUCUGCAUAGCAAGCUACCGUUCGCGGAUGGGCCCGCGUCCCAUUAGCUAGUUGGUGAGGUAACGGCCCACCAAGGCGACGAUGGGUAGCCGGCCUGAGAGGGUGGUCGGCCACACUGGAACUGAGACACGGUCCAGACUCCUACGGGAGGCAGCAGUCGGGAAUCUUGGGCAAUGGGGGAAACCCUGACCCAGCGACGCCGCGUGGAGGAUGAAGGCCUUCGGGUUGUAAACUCCUGUCUUCGGGGACGAAGGUUCCGCCUUCGAACAGGGGGUGGAGGUGACGGUACCCGAGGAGGAAGCCCCGGCUAACUACGUGCCAGCAGCCGCGGUAAGACGUAGGGGGCGAGCGUUGUCCGGAAUUACUGGGCGUAAAGGGCAAGUAGGCGGCCUGCUAAGUCGGGUGUGAAAGGCGCGGGCUCAACCUGCGCAGGCCACUCGAAACUGGCGGGCUUGAGGGCAGGAGAGGAGAGCGGAAUUCCCGGUGUAGCGGUGAAAUGCGUAGAUAUCGGGAGGAACACCAGUGGCGAAUGCGGCUCUCUGGCCUGUACCUGACGCUCAAUUGCGAAAGCUAGGGGAGCGAACGGGAUUAGAUACCCCGGUAGU
Molecule: ribosomal RNA, 800 nt
Filed under: uncultured bacterium
Lineage: Bacteria
Description: bacterial SSU rRNA
Rfam family: Bacterial small subunit ribosomal RNA
Source: RNAcentral